This 137-nucleotide ribosomal RNA is filed under the name uncultured bacterium. RNAcentral describes it as "partial 16S ribosomal RNA". It matches the Rfam family "Bacterial small subunit ribosomal RNA", at positions 391 to 525 of the family's 1533-position model. The record is from RNAcentral.
GCCAAGUAGCGUGCAGGAUGACGGCCCUAUGGGUUGUAAACUGCUUUUAUACAGGGAUAAAGUUAGCCACGUGUGGUUAUUUGCAGGUACUGUAUGAAUAAGGACCGGCUAAUUCCGUGCCAGCAGCCGCGGUAAUA